GCCGGGCGUGGUGGCGGGCGCCUGUAAUCCCAGCUACUCAGGAGGCUGAGGCAGGAGAAUCGCUUGAACCUGGGAGGCGGAGCUUGCACUGAGCCGAGAUUGUGCCAGUAUACUCCAGCCUGGGUGACAAAGCGAGACUCUGUCUCAA
Macaca fascicularis (crab-eating macaque) is the source of this 148-nucleotide unclassified non-coding RNA. It matches the Rfam family "Metazoan signal recognition particle RNA". Rfam says of the family: The signal recognition particle (SRP) is a universally conserved ribonucleoprotein. It is involved in the co-translational targeting of proteins to membranes. The eukaryotic SRP consists of a 300-nucleotide 7S RNA and six proteins: SRPs 72, 68, 54, 19, 14, and 9. NCBI's taxonomy places the organism in Eukaryota, Metazoa, Chordata, Mammalia, Primates, Cercopithecidae. The record is from Ensembl.